RNAcentral lists this small nucleolar RNA (154 nucleotides) under Dasypus novemcinctus (nine-banded armadillo). Lineage: Eukaryota; Metazoa; Chordata; Mammalia; Cingulata; Dasypodidae. The record is from RNAcentral.
AGUGCACAUGUUAGAGCUUGGAGCUGAGCCCACUGGCUAGCCAAUGAACUCUCAAGUGAAGGUAGUAUGCUACAUGAUGGACAAGUUUUUCACUAAUACCACAAGGGUCUCUGACCCAAUGAGUGGAAGGUUGAUAGUAGUCCUUGUUACAAAU